RNAcentral lists this ribosomal RNA (253 nucleotides) under uncultured bacterium. RNAcentral's name for it is "partial 16S ribosomal RNA". It matches the Rfam family "Bacterial small subunit ribosomal RNA", at positions 524 to 776 of the family's 1533-position model. The record is from RNAcentral.
UACGAAGGGGGCUAGCGUUGCUCGGAAUCACUGGGCGUAAAGCGCACGUAGGCGGACUCUUAAGUCGGUGGUGAAAUCCUGGAGCUCAACUCCAGAACUGCCUUCGAUACUGAGAGUCUCGAGUCCGGGAGAGGUGAGUGGAACUGCGAGUGUAGAGGUGAAAUUCGUAGAUAUUCGCAAGAACACCAGUGGCGAAGGCGGCUCACUGGCCCGGUACUGACGCUGAGGUGCAAAAGCGUGGGGAGCAAACAGG